Molecule: ribosomal RNA, 137 nt
Filed under: uncultured bacterium
Lineage: Bacteria
Description: partial 16S ribosomal RNA
Rfam family: Bacterial small subunit ribosomal RNA
Source: RNAcentral
UGGGGAGUAUUGCACAAUGGGGGAAACCCUGAUGCAGCGACGCCGCGUGAGUGAAGAAGUUAUUCGUAAUGUAAAGCUCUAUCAGCAGGGAAGAAAGUGACGGUACCUGAGUAAGAAGCACCGGCUAAAUACGUGCC